ACAAUCACUUCCUAAGAGGCGACGUGGCCCUUCAGCAACCACAGCUGUAGAGCCGGUGUCCUGUGCCAGGGACGCGUGCGGUGUCCCACCCGCCAAGACAAGGCGAAACGCGCUCCGCCAGCGACAAUCUAGAUUGAGCACAAUGUGUAGUGGCACUUAACCUCUGCGUGAAAGGGAAAAGCAGAAAGCGACAGAGGUACAACAACAGGUUUUUCCGUGUUCCUCAAAGCAUCCUGCAGGUUAGUUGCACCUAAGAGAAUGUAAACGUUGGGUUCGACCUGCUGGAGCCCAGGUAGGAUGCUUUAGCCAGCCGGGGACUGGAGAGUUGGAAGGGAACAAGGUGGAGGUGCUGUGAGACAAGAAGGGGAGGCCUGGUUAGAGAGGAAGAUUUCGAGGAAAUUCAGCACAGAUGUGAGAACCGAAGGCCAAAGAGUUGAAAUGCUUCCGAAGAGUCAAAGUGUGCAGGCUUGACUUCCACUAGAGCAGGCCAAGUAGGAAAGUCUAAAGUUCAAAGUCAGGUUCAAAGAAGCCAAAGAAGAAAGAGUCUGGAAAUUGCAGUGUAG
This 563-nucleotide long non-coding RNA is filed under the name Suricata suricatta (meerkat). Its description in RNAcentral is "lncRNA (ENSSSUG00005005837.1)". The record is from RNAcentral. Lineage: Eukaryota; Metazoa; Chordata; Mammalia; Carnivora; Herpestidae.